GCUUAGAGAGGGGUCAAUGUCCUAUCAGCUAGUUGGUAGGGUAAUGGCCUACCAAGGCUAAGACGGGUAGCCGGCCUGAGAGGGUGGUCGGCCACACUGGGACUGAGACACUGCCCAGACUCCUACGGGAGGCUGCAGUCGAGAAUCUUUCGCAAUGCCCGAAAGGGUGACGAAGCGACGCCGCGUGUGGGAAGAAGGCCUUCGGGUUGUAAACCACUGUCGGGAGUUAAGAAAUGUAAGGGUGUUAAUAGCAUCCUUACUUGACUAAGGCUCCGGAGGAAGCCACGGCUAACUCUGUGCCAGCAGCCGCGGUAAUACAGAGGCGGCAAGCGUUGUUCGGAAUUAUUGGGCGUAAAGAGCACGUAGGCGGCCUUGUAAGUCAGUUGUGAAAGCCUUCUGCUCAACGGAAGAACAGCAUCUGAUACUGCAAGGCUAGAGUGCGGAAGGG
This 448-nucleotide ribosomal RNA is filed under the name uncultured Planctomycetota bacterium. RNAcentral's name for it is "bacterial SSU rRNA". It matches the Rfam family "Bacterial small subunit ribosomal RNA", at positions 217 to 656 of the family's 1533-position model. Lineage: Bacteria; Pseudomonadati; Planctomycetota. The record is from RNAcentral.